Non-coding RNA from Mus caroli (Ryukyu mouse), 1506 nucleotides. The record is from RefSeq and is a predicted model, not a curated record. Lineage: Eukaryota; Metazoa; Chordata; Mammalia; Rodentia; Muridae.
UCUUCUCUUCCAGGUUCCCCAAAUGCCUUUCCAGGCUAGAACCCAGGCUGUGAUCUGCUGGCUGGACACAACAGAGAAGACUUUUGCUCUGGCACACGGGCAGCAGCCUCAAAAACCUGUUCACCAUGUUUGAAAACAUCAGUCACACACCAAUAGGGCAAGAAGGCAGAAGAGAACCACAGAAAACUUGUCUGCUUUUCCGAGGGAUGGAACAGGUGUGUCGAUGCAUGUGGAUGUAAUUCACUGAGAGUGAGCCCUGAAACCUUAUCACAGAGAGACAGGUCAGAAACCUAGCUGAAGGGAAUGUCACCCAGCUGGUGCCUGGUCACUUCUAUGAUGUCCGGUGGGCUCCACAGCCGGAAGAACUUGGCGUGCAAAGCUCAUGAAUGACUCAUAACCCAGGAGACCCAGAGCAAAGUUCCAGUUAGCGGAGUCUGAAAUCAUCUACCUUCCAUCUGCUCUUCGAGUAUUCUAUUUACUUGAAUUUCUUACAAUUUUCAUUCCCUUAAAUUUUUAUUUGUGUAUGCUUCAUUGUGAAACUUUAGAUUUGUCAGGUCUCAGGCAGCUCAUGUAACCAGAAAUGAGCGCAAGCUGGACUAUAGAAGGAUUUCUGGUAGAUAGAGAAAAGCCAGCAUUCUGUAGGAGGUUUUCUGUCCCCCAAGAGGAGUCCUUUCCCUUACCUCUGGCAGAACGGACAUAUGGCUCUGCAAUUCAUAUAUACCGAUGGUGACUAUCAGUAUAUCAAAGCACACACUGGCCUCCGGGCUCCCUUGGUAUCACAAAGACCAGUUAUACAUUUCGAAGUCUGCAUCCUAGCAUGGCAGCCUUUCUCAGCUCCUCCUCUAGCCUCCCUCCAGCUCGAGGGCUCCCUCUCUCAGUUACUCACUGUUCUUAUGAUUCACACUCUAGAUCUUGCUAGCCUCUUGCUGUCUCUCUAACUCCUUCCUCACUAUGCUCUCUCCUGCUCUGCUGCUUCCCUAGCCCUGCCUGUGCCCAGUCUGAUUUUCAUUCCAAUCUGACUGGAUUCUCUCAGAAUGGGGAAUUUUCUCUGGAUAUUUUCUCUCUCUUAUUCACAGUGCAAGCCUUCCUCUAAUAAUGGAUCAGUCAUGUCACACUUUCUUUACCUCAGCCCCUUUGAAUACCAUAUUCCCUUUAAGAUUUUUUUCGAGACAGUCUUGCUGAUGUAGCCCACAGUAGUGUGGAACUCAGGACUAUACUGCCUCCCUCCUGUAUAGUGGCACUACAUGCACGCACUGUGACACAAUUUGCACCCUAUAUGAUAGACUUAAUUUGAUUGUGUCAGGGUUAGGACUGUGCGUUUCCCUGGAUAGGCACUGAUGACUAGGGGAUGGGGAUAGACCCUCUAUGGUACCUCCAUGGUAGAAGAGAUCAAGGAGCAUGCCUCUUACAUCAGACAGUUAUUCCCUCUCAGCUCUUCAUGGAUGCCAUAUGCCUGCCCCUUCUCCUCCUCUUCUUCUUCCUCUUCUUCUUCCUCUUCUUCCUCCU